AUGUGGAGGAAAGUAGGGGAAAUGGCCGAUACUACUGGAAGAAUUCCUCUUUGGCUGAUAAGUACUGUAGCCGGUAUUGCUGUGAUUGGUUUAGUAGGUGCGAAAUGA
Molecule: ribosomal RNA, 108 nt
Filed under: Triticum aestivum (bread wheat)
Lineage: Eukaryota; Viridiplantae; Streptophyta; Magnoliopsida; Poales; Poaceae
Description: partial small subunit ribosomal RNA
Source: RNAcentral